GGAACACCUUGGGAAUAGAGAGAGAGAGAGAGAGAGAAAGAGAGAGAAGAAGGAGAAAGGAAGAGAGGAAGAAAGGAGAAAGACAAGAAUAGGGCUCGAGUUUGAAGCCCCCACCUCUGUGUUUCAUGUUU
Molecule: non-coding RNA, 131 nt
Filed under: Crypthecodinium cohnii
Lineage: Eukaryota; Dinophyceae; Gonyaulacales; Crypthecodiniaceae
Source: RNAcentral